This 304-nucleotide long non-coding RNA is filed under the name Nicotiana benthamiana. Its description in RNAcentral is "long non-coding RNA (NBEN_LNC029152)". The record is from RNAcentral. Lineage: Eukaryota; Viridiplantae; Streptophyta; Magnoliopsida; Solanales; Solanaceae.
UGGCAUAAUUUUGGAUGGUUAAGUUCUUCCACAUGACUCUAGGCAAUUGUCCAAUCUGGUGUAGAUACAGCAUCUUUAUAGUACAUACUGGUUUAUGCAUCAUAUGAUAUUGUUGCAAUAGAACAGUAGCUUCAAUUAUCUUCCGGACCAUCCAGCAGGCUUGCUUGGGAAUAACAAUGGAUUCUAACUGAUGUUGUUUUAUAUAGACUGUGUGAAUCCACCUUACCCAUAGGACAUCCUUCUUAUGAGCCAAAUCCCAGCCAAGCUUAGCAAUAGCAGCUUUGUUCCACACUAGCAGGUUCAU